GGAUGUGAGGGCGAUUUGGCUGUGAAGUCUGUCAGCUCAUGGAUUGCCAGGGUUGAUUCUGCCUGCAUGGGUGUCCCUUUCUUCCCUCACCACUCCAUGUGCGUCCCUCCUGCAUGCUCAAUGGAAGAGGAUGACCAUCCCCAGUAGAUAGAGAAGGACAGUUUUCUUUUCAAGGGUGUACAAGUAGCUCUGCUCUCCUGUUAGAACCUCCAAAAGAAUAAUGACAGAAAUAUGAGCAACUUUUUGCUAGUAAAUUUGACAAUAUGAGUAAAUCGUCAGAUU
Cavia porcellus (domestic guinea pig) is the source of this 282-nucleotide unclassified non-coding RNA. Its record names the gene 7SK. It matches the Rfam family "7SK RNA". Rfam says of the family: 7SK was discovered as an abundant small nuclear RNA in the mid-70s but a possible function has only recently been suggested. Two independent studies have found that 7SK RNA binds the CDK9/cyclin T complex (known as elongation factor P-TEFb). P-TEFb activates transcription by phosphorylating the C-terminal domain of RNA polymerase II. Lineage: Eukaryota; Metazoa; Chordata; Mammalia; Rodentia; Caviidae. The record is from Ensembl.